This 254-nucleotide ribosomal RNA is filed under the name uncultured bacterium. Its description in RNAcentral is "partial 16S ribosomal RNA". It matches the Rfam family "Bacterial small subunit ribosomal RNA", at positions 524 to 776 of the family's 1533-position model. The record is from RNAcentral.
UACGGGGGGAGCAAGCGUUGUUCGGAUUUACUGGGCGUAAAGGGCGCGUAGGCGGUCGUGACAAGUCACUUGUGAAAUCUCCGGGCUUAACUCGGAACGGUCAAGUGAUACUGUCGGACUAGAGUACAGAAGGGGCAACUGGAAUUCUCGGUGUAGCGGUGAAAUGCGUAGAUAUCGAGAGGAACACCAAUGGCGAAGGCAGCUUGCUGGGACGGUACUGACGCUGAGACGCGAAAGCGUGGGGAGCAAACAGG